CGGGGGGCAGCAGUGGGGAAUAUUGGACAAUGGGGGCAACCCUGAUCCAGCGAUGCCACGUGUGCGAAGAAGGCCUUAGGGUUGUAAAGCACUUUAGUGAGGGAGGAAAGUGAUCUGGUUAAUACCCAGGUUAAUUGACAGUACCUCAAGAAUAAGCACCGGCAAACUCUGUGCCAGCAGCCGCGGUAAUACAGAGGGUGCAAGCGUUAAUCGGAAUUAUUGGGCGUAAAGGGCUUGUAGGCGGUGAAUUAAGUUAGGUGUGAAAACCCUGGGCUCAACCUGGGGCUGGCAUCUAAUACUGGUUCGCUAGAGUAUAGGAGAGGAGAAGGGAAUUUCUGGUGUAGCGGUGAAAUGCGUAGAUAUCAGAAGGAACAUCAGUGGCGAAGGCGCUUCUCUGGCCUAAUACUGACGCUGAGGAGCGAAGGCGUGGGGAUCAAACAGGAUUAGAUACCCGAGU
This 457-nucleotide ribosomal RNA is filed under the name uncultured prokaryote. Its description in RNAcentral is "bacterial SSU rRNA". It matches the Rfam family "Bacterial small subunit ribosomal RNA", at positions 342 to 791 of the family's 1533-position model. The record is from RNAcentral.